AACGAACGCUGGCGGCAUGCCUAAUACAUGCAAGUCGAACGAUCACUUCGGUGGUAGUGGCGCACGGGUGCGUAACGCGUGGGAAUCUGCCCUUGGGUUCGGAAUAACGUCGGGAAACUGACGCUAAUGCCGGAUGAUGACGUAAGUCCAAAGAUUUAUCGCCCAGGGAUGAGCCCGCGUAGGAUUAGCUAGUUGGUGGGGUAAAGGCCUACCAAGGCGACGAUCCUUAGCUGGUCUGAGAGGAUGAUCAGCCAUACUGGGACUGAGACACGGCCCAGACUCCUACGGGAGGCAGCAGUAGGGAAUAUUGGACAAUGGGGGCAACCCUGAUCCAGCAAUGCCGCGUGAGUGAUGAAGGCCUUAGGGUUGUAAAGCUCUUUUACCCGGGAUGAUAAUGACAGUACCGGGAGAAUAAGCCCCGGCUAACUCCGUGCCAGCAGCCGCCGUAA
Molecule: ribosomal RNA, 449 nt
Filed under: uncultured bacterium
Lineage: Bacteria
Description: partial 16S ribosomal RNA
Rfam family: Bacterial small subunit ribosomal RNA
Source: RNAcentral